This is a non-coding RNA of Onygenales sp. PD_40, 110 nucleotides long. Lineage: Eukaryota; Fungi; Ascomycota; Eurotiomycetes; Onygenales. The record is from the annotation of a GenBank genome assembly.
GCAUCGGUGGUCCAAGGGUCAAGAUUCGACAUUCCCAAGAUUACCUAAUAUGUUCUCUUGCGGAGACAUGGUGACAUGUCGAGAACCGGGUUCGAGUCCCGGCCGAUGCA